RNAcentral lists this ribosomal RNA (496 nucleotides) under uncultured bacterium. RNAcentral describes it as "partial 16S ribosomal RNA". It matches the Rfam family "Bacterial small subunit ribosomal RNA", at positions 28 to 507 of the family's 1533-position model. The record is from RNAcentral.
GAUGAACGCUGGCGGCGUGCCUAAUACAUGCAAGUCGAGCGAACAGAUGAGGAGCUUGCUCCUCUGACGUUAGCGGCGGACGGGUGAGUAACACGUGGAUAACCUACCUAUAAGACUGGGAUAACUUCGGGAAACCGGAGCUAAUACCGGAUAAUAUAUUGAACCGCAUGGUUCAAUAGUGAAAGACGGUUUUGCUGUCACUUAUAGAUGGAUCCGCGCCGCAUUAGCUAGUUGGUAAGGUAACGGCUUACCAAGGCAACGAUGCGUAGCCGACCUGAGAGGGUGAUCGGCCACACUGGAACUGAGACACGGUCCAGACUCCUACGGGAGGCAGCAGUAGGGAAUCUUCCGCAAUGGGCGAAAGCCUGACGGAGCAACGCCGCGUGAGUGAUGAAGGUCUUCGGAUCGUAAAACUCUGUUAUUAGGGAAGAACAAAUGUGUAAGUAACUAUGCACGUCUUGACGGUACCUAAGCAGAAAGCCACGGCUACUACGUG